GGGGAAUAUUGCACAAUGGGCGAAAGCCUGAUGCAGCAACGCCGCGUGAGUGAUGAAGGUCUUCGGAUUGUAAAGCUCUGUCUUUUGGGACGAUAAUGACGGUACCAAAGGAGGAAGCCACGGCUAACUACGUGCCAGCAGCCGCGGUAAUACGUAGGUGGCGAGCGUUGUCCGGAUUUACUGGGCGUAAAGGGUGCGUAGACGGAUGUUUAAGUGAGAUGUGAAAUACCCGGGCUUAACUUGGGUGCUGCAUUUCAAACUGGAUAUCUAGAGUGCAGGAGAGGAGAAUGGAAUUCCUAGUGUAGCGGUGAAAUGCGUAGAGAUUAGGAAGAACACCAGUGGCGAAGGCGAUUCUCUGGACUGUAACUGACGCUGAGGCACGAAAGCGUGGGUAGCAAACAGGAUUAGAUACCCUGGUAGUCCACGCCGUAAACGAUGAGUACUAGGUGUAGGAGGUAUCGACCCCUUCUGUGCCGCAGUAAACACAUUAAGUACUCCGCCUGGGAAGUACGAUCGCAAGAUUAAAACUCUAAAGUGAAUUGAC
Molecule: ribosomal RNA, 544 nt
Filed under: uncultured bacterium
Lineage: Bacteria
Description: partial 16S ribosomal RNA
Rfam family: Bacterial small subunit ribosomal RNA
Source: RNAcentral